Molecule: long non-coding RNA, 1513 nt
Filed under: Sarcophilus harrisii (Tasmanian devil)
Lineage: Eukaryota; Metazoa; Chordata; Mammalia; Dasyuromorphia; Dasyuridae
Description: lncRNA (ENSSHAG00000025697.1)
Source: RNAcentral
ACAUGAAAAUCUGCUGCCCCCUACAAACGAGUAGUUCGAGAAACUCGAGUCUCAGAACUACAACUCCCAGAAUGCCACUGAACUAACUUCCUUUGGGGCCCUCACGUCCUAGUACAGGAAGUCCUAGAACUCGCUGUGUCGGCGUCUCCUCGGUUAUCGGGCAGAGACCGGGUGCUAAGGUCCAACUGCACAGACGGUGGAGCACUGAUAACUGACCCAUUGUCAGUAGCAUCUGAAGCCCACAAGCUGGAGGGAACUUGGUUAGGAGCCAGAUGGUUAGAAGGGGUUGAAGGACUUGUUUAUUCUAGGCUUUGGUCAAUUCAUCUUUAAAUGAUCGACACCAGACAGCCAUAUCAAUCGGCUUCAAGGAUCUGACUCAGAAUCCCACUGGAUGCUGCUCCAAUAGGCUCCUGGUCCACCCUCAGCUCAAGCUCACCAUCCUUCAAAUUGGGACUCUGUAGGAUAAUUCUGUUCCCAGCAGGAAAUAGUUUCAGAAGAUGAGAUCAUCACCCCAUACCUCAUACCCCAAAGGACUUUGGGCUCCGGUAAUGAUUGGUGGAGUGAAAGGAUUCCAGUAAAAUACUAUCCAGUGUCUGAAUGGGCCCCCAGUACAGAGCAAACUGACCCUCUGUUAAUCUCUGUAAUUAUGCCCUAGUAAUCAGCUCUGUACCCUUUUGGUGUCACCAUACUUUGGCUUCAGUUCAUCUCUGUAACACUCCUACCCCACAGGCCACUGUAUUUCACUUGAAGCUUCUGGACAUUACUUAACAACUUUCUGGAUUUGACCUCCAAAAUUUCAGCGUCAGUCUUGACUACCUCUCAUUUAGGACUCCAACCCAUUUUUCAAAAGAUUUCCUUAACAAAUUAAAAGAGUGGGGAAAUGAUGAGAUCCCGAGGAACUAAGUGGGGUUGGCAGAGACAGCCUGAAGUAUUGGUAAAAUUAUUCCCUGAAGCGAGCAGGCAACUAUUUAACUGAUGGGAAUCAGUUUAACUUUAUAGUCCCACCCUCUGUGGAGUUUGUAGGUAGCCCCACUUUGCUAUAUCCAGUCAGAAAUUCAAGUUAUAGCAAAUCCCUGAGAUUUCAAUUUCCCCUAUGAAUCUCUCUUUCCCAUACCAUCUUUGCUGAAUCUCUUCUGGGCUUACAACCUCCCCCAGCACUCUGCUUUGAUGUAUCUUUCCCUUCCCCUUUGCUUCAUGGUGUCUUUCCUCUCAUCCCCCCACCAUGCUUCAUGAUGUCUUUCUCCUUAUAGCUAACUCUUUUAGGAUGUUAAACUCCUCUGGAUUUAACCUGUCAGUUAAGGGUAUACUCCCACCACAGAGUGUUCCCUUUUUCAUAGUUAAAUUGUGAAUUCCAUUCGGUUACUUGUCGUUUCCAUUGUUGAUUGUUAAAACCCCCUUUCUCUGCUGUGUGUUCUCCCGACUCAAUUUCAUGUUUACCAUCCCUAGUGUCUAUUGUAUCUCUUCGUUUUGUCUGUAGCCUCUUAUCCUAAAUAAACCUACCUUUUGCCAAAGA